GACGAACGCUGGCGGCGUGCUUAACACAUGCAAGUCGAACGGAAAGGCCCUGCUUUUGUGGGGUGCUCGAGUGGCGAACGGGUGAGUAACACGUGAGUAACCUGCCCUUGACUUUGGGAUAACUUCAGGAAACUGGGGCUAAUACCGGAUAGGAGCUCCUGCUGCAUGGUGGGGGUUGGAAAGUUUCGGCGGUUGGGGAUGGACUCGCGGCUUAUCAGCUUGUUGGUGGGGUAGUGGCUUACCAAGGCGUUGACGGGUAGCCGGCCUGAGAGGGUGACCGGCCACAUUGGGACUGAGAUACGGCCCAGACUCCUACGGGAGGCAGCAGUGGAGAAGAUUGCACAAUGGGCGGGAGCCUGAUGCAGCAACGCCGCGUGCGGGAUGACGGCCUUCGGGUUGUAAACCGCUUUCGCCUGUGAAGAAGAGUGAGUGACGGUAAUGGGUAAAGAAGCACCGGCUAACUACGUG
Molecule: ribosomal RNA, 468 nt
Filed under: uncultured bacterium
Lineage: Bacteria
Description: partial 16S ribosomal RNA
Rfam family: Bacterial small subunit ribosomal RNA
Source: RNAcentral